UUAAGCGACUAAGCGUACACGGUGGAUGCCCUGGCAGUCAGAGGCGAUGAAGGACGUGCUAAUCUGCGAUAAGCGUCGGUGAGGUGAUAUGAACCGUUAUAACCGGCGAUUUCCGAAUGGGGAAACCCAGUGUGUUUCGACACACUAUCAUUAACUGAAUCCAUAGGUUAAUGAGGCGAACCGGGGGAACUGAAACAUCUAAGUACCCCGAGGAAAAGAAAUCAACCGAGAUUCCCCCAGUAGCGGCGAGCGAACGGGGAGGAGCCCAGAGCCUGAAUCAGUGUGUGUGUUAGUGGAAGCGUCUGGAAAGGCGCGCGAUACAGGGUGACAGCCCCGUACACAAAAAUGCACAUACUGUGAGCUCGAUGAGUAGGGCGGGACACGUGGUAUCCUGUCUGAAUAUGGGGGGACCAUCCUCCAAGGCUAAAUACUCCUGACUGACCGAUAGUGAACCAGUACCGUGAGGGAAAGGCGAAAAGAACCCCGGCGAGGGGAGUGAAAAAGAACCUGAAACCGUGUACGUACAAGCAGUGGGAGCCUCUUAAUGGGGUGACUGCGUACCUUUUGUAUAAUGGGUCAGCGACUUAUAUUCUGUAGCAAGGUUAACCGAAUAGGGGAGCCGAAGGGAAACCGAGUCUUAACUGGGCGUUAAGUUGCAGGGUAUAGACCCGAAACCCGGUGAUCUAGCCAUGGGCAGGUUGAAGGUUGGGUAACACUAACUGGAGGACCGAACCGACUAAUGUUGAAAAAUUAGCGGAUGACUUGUGGCUGGGGGUGAAAGGCCAAUCAAACCGGGAGAUAGCUGGUUCUCCCCGAAAGCUAUUUAGGUAGCGCCUCGUGAAUUCAUCUCCGGGGGUAGAGCACUGUUUCGGCAAGGGGGUCAUCCCGACUUACCAACCCGAUGCAAACUGCGAAUACCGGAGAAUGUUAUCACGGGAGACACACGGCGGGUGCUAACGUCCGUCGUGAAGAGGGAAACAACCCAGACCGCCAGCUAAGGUCCCAAAGUCAUGGUUAAGUGGGAAACGAUGUGGGAAGGCCCAGACAGCCAGGAUGUUGGCUUAGAAGCAGCCAUCAUUUAAAGAAAGCGUAAUAGCUCACUGGUCGAGUCGGCCUGCGCGGAAGAUGUAACGGGGCUAAACCAUGCACCGAAGCUGCGGCAGCGACACUAUGUGUUGUUGGGUAGGGGAGCGUUCUGUAAGCCUGUGAAGGUGUCCUGUGAGGUUUGCUGGAGGUAUCAGAAGUGCGAAUGCUGACAUAAGUAACGAUAAAGCGGGUGAAAAGCCCGCUCGCCGGAAGACCAAGGGUUCCUGUCCAACGUUAAUCGGGGCAGGGUGAGUCGACCCCUAAGGCGAGGCCGAAAGGCGUAGUCGAUGGGAAACAGGUUAAUAUUCCUGUACUUGGUGUUACUGCGAAGGGGGGACGGAGAAGGCUAUGUUGGCCGGGCGACGGUUGUCCCGGUUUAAGCGUGUAGGCUGGUUUUCCAGGCAAAUCCGGAAAAUCAAGGCUGAGGCGUGAUGACGAGGCACUACGGUGCUGAAGCGACAAAUGCCCUGCUUCCAGGAAAAGCCUCUAAGCAUCAGGUAACAUCAAAUCGUACCCCAAACCGACACAGGUGGUCAGGUAGAGAAUACCAAGGCGCUUGAGAGAACUCGGGUGAAGGAACUAGGCAAAAUGGUGCCGUAACUUCGGGAGAAGGCACGCUGAUAUGUAGGUGAAGCGACUUGCUCGUGGAGCUGAAAUCAGUCGAAGAUACCAGCUGGCUGCAACUGUUUAUUAAAAACACAGCACUGUGCAAACACGAAAGUGGACGUAUACGGUGUGACGCCUGCCCGGUGCCGGAAGGUUAAUUGAUGGGGUUAGCGGUAACGCGAAGCUCUUGAUCGAAGCCCCGGUAAACGGCGGCCGUAACUAUAACGGUCCUAAGGUAGCGAAAUUCCUUGUCGGGUAAGUUCCGACCUGCACGAAUGGCGUAAUGAUGGCCAGGCUGUCUCCACCCGAGACUCAGUGAAAUUGAACUCGCUGUGAAGAUGCAGUGUACCCGCGGCAAGACGGAAAGACCCCGUGAACCUUUACUAUAGCUUGACACUGAACAUUGAGCCUUGAUGUGUAGGAUAGGUGGGAGGCUUUGAAGUGUGGACGCCAGUCUGCAUGGAGCCGACCUUGAAAUACCACCCUUUAAUGUUUGAUGUUCUAACGUGGGCCCCUUACCGGGGUUGCGGACAGUGUCUGGUGGGUAGUUUGACUGGGGCGGUCUCCUCCUAAAGAGUAACGGAGGAGCACGAAGGUUGGCUAAUCCUGGUCGGACAUCAGGAGGUUAGUGCAAUGGCAUAAGCCAGCUUGACUGCGAGCGUGACGGCGCGAGCAGGUGCGAAAGCAGGUCAUAGUGAUCCGGUGGUUCUGAAUGGAAGGGCCAUCGCUCAACGGAUAAAAGGUACUCCGGGGAUAACAGGCUGAUACCGCCCAAGAGUUCAUAUCGACGGCGGUGUUUGGCACCUCGAUGUCGGCUCAUCACAUCCUGGGGCUGAAGUAGGUCCCAAGGGUAUGGCUGUUCGCCAUUUAAAGUGGUACGCGAGCUGGGUUUAGAACGUCGUGAGACAGUUCGGUCCCUAUCUGCCGUGGGCGCUGGAGAACUGAGGGGGGCUGCUCCUAGUACGAGAGGACCGGAGUGGACGCAUCACUGGUGUUCGGGUUGUCAUGCCAAUGGCACUGCCCGGUAGCUAAAUGCGGAAGAGAUAAGUGCUGAAAGCAUCUAAGCACGAAACUUGCCCCGAGAUGAGUUCUCCCUGACUCCUUGAGAGUCCUGAAGGAACGUUGAAGACGACGACGUUGAUAGGCCGGGUGUGUAAGCGCAGCGAUGCGUUGAGCUAACCGGUACUAAUGAACCGUGAGGCUUAACCUU
RNAcentral lists this ribosomal RNA (2902 nucleotides) under Escherichia coli KTE148. Its description in RNAcentral is "bacterial LSU rRNA". It matches the Rfam family "Bacterial large subunit ribosomal RNA". Lineage: Bacteria; Pseudomonadati; Pseudomonadota; Gammaproteobacteria; Enterobacterales; Enterobacteriaceae. The record is from RNAcentral.